RNAcentral lists this ribosomal RNA (730 nucleotides) under uncultured eukaryote. RNAcentral describes it as "SSU rRNA". It matches the Rfam family "Eukaryotic small subunit ribosomal RNA", at positions 669 to 1426 of the family's 1831-position model. The record is from RNAcentral.
CGGGUGCACUGAUCCGGCCGGGCCUUUCCCUCUGUGGAACCCCCAUGGCCUUCACUGGCUGUGCGGGGGAAACAGGACUUUUACUGUGAAAAAAUUAGAGUGCUCCAGGCAGGCCUAUGCUCGAAUACAUUAGCAUGGAAUAAUAGAAUAGGACGCGUGGUUCUAUUUUGUUGGUUUCUAGGACCGCCGUAAUGAUUAAUAGGGACAGUCGGGGGCAUCAGUAUUCAAUUGUCAGAGGUGAAAUUCUUGGAUCUAUUGAAGACUAACUACUGCGAAAGCAUUUGCCAAGGAUGUUUUCAUUGAUAAGGAACGAAAGUUAGGGGAUCGAAGACGAUCAGAUACCGUCGUAGUCUUAACUAUAAACUAUGCCGACUAGGGAUCGGACGAUGUUAUUUCUUGACGCGUUCGGCACCUUUCGAGAAAUCAAAGUGCAUGGGCUCCAGGGGGAGUAUGGUCGCAAGGCUGAAACUUAAAGAAAUUGACGGAAGGGCACCACCAGGGGUGGAACCUGCGGCUUAAUUUGACUCAACACGGGGAAACUCACCAGGUCCAGACACAGUGAGGAUUGACAGAUUGAGAGCUCUUUCUUGAUUCUGUGGGUGGUGGUGCAUGGCCGUUCUUAGUUGGUGGAGUGAUUUGUCUGCUUAAUUGCGAUAACGAACGAGACCUUAACCUGCUAAAUAGCCCGUACUGCUCUGGCAGUUCGCCGGCUUCUUAGAGGGACUAUCGG